GUCCCACAGGAGGAACAACAAUAUGAACUAACCAGUACCCCCAGAGCUCCCAGAUAUGUUGAACUGACCUGCAUGAACUCCUGAAAUCCUGGACCUUCAGCCAGAACCAGUGAAGACACAGACAUCAGAGACUAAUCAACCCUAUUUUCCCUACCCUUCCCCCCUUCAUAAUAUCUCAACACUCAGAUUCAGCUUGAAGAAGUUAUGAAGAGUCAUCGACCCACUUCCCUGGUCUUUGAGGCUGGAGAGGUUUAUUAAUAGAUUGUCUUUCUAGGGAAUGUAUAAACUGUAAUAUUGGAUCAUGGAGGAACAGCUCGAAUAGAGUAUAUAUCCAUAUCA
Mastomys coucha (southern multimammate mouse) is the source of this 339-nucleotide long non-coding RNA. RefSeq lists it as uncharacterized. The transcript has 2 exons. The record is from RefSeq and is a predicted model, not a curated record. NCBI's taxonomy places the organism in Eukaryota, Metazoa, Chordata, Mammalia, Rodentia, Muridae.